This is a regulatory RNA element of 116 nucleotides. It matches the Rfam family "ALIL pseudoknot". The record is from Rfam.
CGCUUUUUUGCCCAGGCGGAGAUCGACCGCCCUCUGAGGAAAUGAAGAUGUUCAUCGAUGACUAUCGCGAGAGCUACGGGGUCGAGCCGAUCUGCGACGUUCUGCCGAUCGCCCCG